Molecule: ribosomal RNA, 347 nt
Filed under: uncultured bacterium
Lineage: Bacteria
Description: partial 16S ribosomal RNA
Rfam family: Bacterial small subunit ribosomal RNA
Source: RNAcentral
CCUACGGGAGGCAGCAGUGAGGAAUAUUGGUCAAUGGACGAGAGUCUGAACCAACCAAGUAGCGUGAAGGAUGACUGCCCUAUGGGUUGUAAACUUCUUUUAUAUGGGAAUAAAAUGUUCCACGUGUGGGAUUUUGUAUGUACCAUAUGAAUAAGGAUCGGCUAACUCCGUGCCAGCAGCCGCGGUAAUACGGAGGAUCCGAGCGUUAUCCGGAUUUAUUGGGUUUAAAGGGAGCGUAGGUGGCUUGUUAAGUCAGUGGUGAAAGUUUGCGGCUCAACCGUAAAAUUGCAGUUGAAACGGGCAGUCUUUAGUACAGUAGAGGUGGGCGGCAUUCGUGUUGUAGCCGU